This 430-nucleotide ribosomal RNA is filed under the name bacterium. RNAcentral describes it as "partial 16S ribosomal RNA". It matches the Rfam family "Bacterial small subunit ribosomal RNA", at positions 355 to 776 of the family's 1533-position model. The record is from RNAcentral.
UGGGGAAUAUUGGACAAUGGGCGGAAGCCUGAUCCAGCCAUGCCGCGUGUGUGAAGAAGGCCUUUUGGUUGUAAAACACUUUAAGCGAGGAGGAGGCUACUUGGAUUAAUACUCUAGGAUAGUGGACGUUACUCGCAGAAUAAGCACCGGCUAACUCUGUGCCAGCAGCCGCGGUAAUACAGAGGGUGCGAGCGUUAAUCGGAUUUACUGGGCGUAAAGCGUGCGUAGGCGGCUUCUUAAGUCGGAUGUGAAAUCCCUGAGCUUAACUUAGGAAUUGCAUUCGAUACUGGGAAGCUAGAGUAUGGGAGAGGAUGGUAGAAUUCCAGGUGUAGCGGUGAAAUGCGUAGAGAUCUGGAGGAAUACCGAUGGCGAAGGCAGCCAUCUGGCCUAAUACUGACGCUGAGGUACGAAAGCAUGGGGAGCAAACAGG